GGGAAUGUGGUUCAGUGGUAGAGUUCAUGCCUUGCAAGCACAGGGCCCUGGAUUCAAUUCCCAGCAUUACAA
RNAcentral lists this transfer RNA (72 nucleotides) under Cavia porcellus (domestic guinea pig). It matches the Rfam family "tRNA". From Rfam's summary of the family: Transfer RNA (tRNA) molecules are approximately 80 nucleotides in length. Lineage: Eukaryota; Metazoa; Chordata; Mammalia; Rodentia; Caviidae. The record is from Rfam by way of RNAcentral.